RNAcentral lists this transfer RNA (69 nucleotides) under Mordacia mordax (southern lamprey). RNAcentral's name for it is "tRNA-Ile". The record is from RNAcentral. Lineage: Eukaryota; Metazoa; Chordata; Hyperoartia; Petromyzontiformes; Petromyzontidae. RNAcentral also lists the same sequence under 1 other name.
GGAAGUAUGUCCGAAAAUAGGUACCACCUUGAUAGGGUGGCCACAGAGUGUACACCCCUCUUACUUCCU